AUGGCUGGCAAGGACACCAAACCCAAGUCCAGCGCUUCUGCUGCUGCUGUCCCGUACGUGUUCUUCCUCUUUCUAUUAGAGGCCCUGCUACAGUUCCUUGUUCUAGUGUUUGCCCUAGAUAUGUUAGGCUCUACUUCAUAUAUGCAACUUGCUAUACUGUCUGCUCUAGAUAUGUUUAGUUACAGUUCAUAUAUGAAGCUGAUGUUUAUCUUCUCUUUGUUAAAUCGCAUGGCUUGUUUUAUCACUGCUAUACUAGUCGUGCUUUAUCUAGUAUUUCUGUUAAUAAAAUCAUUCGGUAAAUUGUUCAUAUUUCCAACAAUCCAGAAACCUUAUUAUAGGCAAUUUACCCCAAGUGGUUUUGCUGCUUCCAUAAGACCUCCUAUGUUUGAGGGUAUCCACUAUAAGAGGUGGCGCGUGAGAGCAGUCUUAUGGUUUCAAACCAUGAGUUGCUAUGACGCCACGCUUGGCAAACCUGAAGGGGAGCAUGAUGUCCAAUAG
Molecule: ribosomal RNA, 498 nt
Filed under: Triticum aestivum (bread wheat)
Lineage: Eukaryota; Viridiplantae; Streptophyta; Magnoliopsida; Poales; Poaceae
Description: partial small subunit ribosomal RNA
Source: RNAcentral